GCCUAGCCGUAAACAAUUAAUUUACAUCAAUAAGCGCCAGGGAAUUACGAGCAAUGCUUAAAACCCAAAGGAUUUGACGGUGUCCCACCCCACUAGAGGAGCCUGUUCUAUAAUCGAUGAUCCCCGAUAUACCCGACCAUUUCUCGCUUAUCAGUCUGUAUACCUCCGUCGAAAGCUUACCAUGUGAACGCCUGCAGUAGGCUUAAUGACCUAACACGUCAGUACGUCAGGUCAAGGUGCAGCUUAAGAAAUGGGAAGUAAUGGGCUACAAUUUCUAACUUAGAACAAACGAAAGACUGUAUGAAAUUACAAUCAUGAAGGUGGAUUUAGUAGUAAAAAGAAAGUAGAGUGUUCUUUUUAACCCGGCUCUGGGACGC
RNAcentral lists this ribosomal RNA (377 nucleotides) under Lithobates clamitans (bronze frog). RNAcentral describes it as "Rana clamitans (bronze frog) partial 12S ribosomal RNA". It matches the Rfam family "Bacterial small subunit ribosomal RNA", at positions 794 to 1382 of the family's 1533-position model. Lineage: Eukaryota; Metazoa; Chordata; Amphibia; Anura; Ranidae. The record is from RNAcentral.